Molecule: long non-coding RNA, 932 nt
Filed under: Apteryx rowi (Okarito brown kiwi)
Lineage: Eukaryota; Metazoa; Chordata; Aves; Apterygiformes; Apterygidae
Description: lncRNA (ENSARWG00000004948.1)
Source: RNAcentral
CCAGUCCCUGCAGCCCCCAGCAGCCAGUUUCGGGCACCACAUGUCAAAACUAGAAAGAACUCGUGGAAGAUCAACAGUAUGUGAAGAAGUUCGUAAAAUGCAACUUUUGAAGGAAGAAAAUUUCGAACGUUAAAUCUCGAUGAUCACUACUGAAGUGGAAACAGCUUGGGACAACGUGCCAACUGAAGCACCAGAGCACCAUUUUUUUGUAGCUUGUAUGCACUAUAAAGGCUUGGUGCACAGAAGGGCAGAAGAUGCAGAACAAGGACCUUGUGUGCUGGGAAAAGGCAAGUCUCACGAGAGCACAGAGGAAGCAUGGCUCAGAAAGGGGAAGAGCUAAGUAUGUUCUAGAGAUGCAUUAAUAUGGAAAAUUCCCUUCACCCGAUAUAUUAGACGAAUGCCUCUCUCACCGCGCACACCCUGCCAGCUGCUUCAUGUGGACCGAGCCAUGGGAUCUGGAUGCAGGGCAGUAUGGUCAGGCCAUGGGAUCCUACUCACACACUCUUGACCACGUACAAGCAUUAAAUGCAACUGUUGUGCAGUCCCAAAUCAGUCACCAGCAUAAAACUGAGCAAGAGCACCCAUUGCCAAAAGGAUCUGAAGCUCUAAAACACAUUCCUGUCUUGACAUUUGCCAAUAUUUGCAGAAUAUUUGUGAAACCAAAAGGAAAUGCUACCAGAAAAGGGCGUGGGGACAAAACUGUAUCUGCUGAUUUCAAGCUGCCAGACACGAAGGCAAUUCUCCGAGCAGACUGUGGAGAUGCACACCUGAAGCAGGCCUUAAGGGCACACUCUGACAGUUCCUGAAUGCCUGGGUGUCAAAGGGCUGCUCUGCGAAACAAGAGGAGACGGAGCAUAUUCCCAGUUCAACAGAGUGGCCAGGCCGGAAGGCUUCAGAGGGCUGAGCUGAAAGGGUGAUAAGGUCUGGCCUUU